Molecule: ribosomal RNA, 314 nt
Filed under: uncultured eukaryote
Lineage: Eukaryota
Description: partial 18S ribosomal RNA
Rfam family: Eukaryotic small subunit ribosomal RNA
Source: RNAcentral
CCCUUAGAUGUCCUGGGCCGCACGCGCGCUACACUGAUACGUGCAACAAGUACAUCCUGAUCCGGAAGGAGACGGGUAAUCUUUAUAGUACGUAUCGUGCUGGGGAUAGAUCUUUGCAAUUUUGGAUCUUGAACGAGGAAUUCCUAGUAGGCAUAAGUCAUCAGCUUGUGCCGAUUACGUCCCUGCCCUUUGUACACACCGCCCGUCGCUCCUACCGAUUGAGUGGUUCGGUGAACUUUUCGGACUGCGAACACUCUAGUGUUUGCGGAAAGUUAAUUAAACCAUAUCACUUAGAGGAAGGAAAANUCGUAACA